UAAUUUACAUUUCUAGAGAACAAGCUCUUUAUGGUACAUAGAAAUAAUCCUGUCAUACAGUGACCAUUCAGAGAGGGAUAAAAACCUUAUAUAUGAAACUUUCACUAAUAACCUGAAACAUCACCACAGAGACAGUUGGGUUAUCCUGUUUGUUUGGACAUCCACUUAUUCACUUGAAAUGCAGGAAAUCUAUUUGAAAAAAACAAAACAAAACAUGAUCAGUUACUUGAUACAAUCAUGAGAUGUGAUCGAGAAAAACUUAUUAAGGAAUUAUUUUGUCAGAGUCAGUCUCUCUCAACAAGAAAAAGAAGAGAAUGUUUUCUGAAAAAUGAAAUUUUGGAUAAAUUUGAAGGGGCGUUAGACUGUGGCAAAGGAAAUGCAUGACAAAUCUUGGGAAUAGAAUAAGGGAAGAAACUUGUUUGCUCGGGCUGCCAUAACAAAAUGCCAUGGACUGUGUGGCUUAAACAACAGAGAUUAAUUUUCUCACAUCUCUGGAGGCUACAAGCUCAAGGUGUUGGCAGGUCUGGUUUCUCCCGAAGCCUCUCUCCCUGGUUUGCAGGUGCAUCCAUGUGGGUGAGUAUGUUUAAAACAAACACCUCAGGAUAUGUGAUAUGCUAAAUGGAAAAGUAAGGAAAACAUACAAGAUUGCCGUGUUUUUCAUCGAGUCACUAGUGCAAUUCCUCAGAUUUCUGACAAGCUGCCUACAUCCCUUGGGAAGGGGAUUUGUAGUGAGGCUACUAUAAAAUUAGUAUUUGAUUGGAGAUGUUUAAAAACUUCAGGAGAGUAUCCAUUUUACACUUGAAAUUUUAUGUCAAGAAAUUUUGCUUCUCCCUGAGGAGCAAAUCUCAAGUGAUAUUUGAAGUCAAGAAAUAGAAACCCACAGAAUGAAUCUUAUUCUACUUUGAGCUUAAUGGUCAAAUUUGAGAUACAUUGAUGUAGGAAAAGGAAUACACAAAAGACUGAGUUGAUAACUUCUGAUAAGAUGGAGCACUUCUCUUUAUUGCUGCCAUGUGAAAAAGGACAUGAUUGUAAGUUUCCUGAGGUCUCCACAUCCAUGCAGAACUAUGGCCUGCUAUAGGUGGACUUUAAUUACUGUCGAUAUAAUAAAAGUUGAAAGUGUCACAUGCAGAAGAUAAUGACACAACACAAAAUAGGCAGCCAAUUUGCACUGAUGAUUAUUAAUUGAUGGUCAGUGGAUUUUGACCGGUAAGGUCAGGUCUCUUGGAUUUUCUUCUUCUUGUUAUUAAAGGGUAAAUUAAAAUUAGAAAAAACUACUAUAAUUUCAUAUGGAAUCAAAGAAGACCCUGUAUAGCCAAGACAAUCCUAAGCAAAAAGAGCAAGGCUGGAGGCAUCACACUACCUGACUUCAAACUAUACUACGAGUCUACAGUAACCAAAACAGCAUGGUACUGGUACAAAAACAGACAUACAGACCAAUGGAACAAAACAGAGACCUCAGAAAUAACACCACACAUCUACAACCAUCUGAACUUUGACAAGCCUGACAAAAGCAAGCAAUGGGGAAAGGAUUCCCUAUCUAAUAAAUAGUGCUGGGAAAAUUGGCUAGCCAUAUACAGAAAACUGAAGCUGGACCCCUUCCUUACAUGUUAUACAAAAAUUAACUCAAGGUGGAUUACAGACUUAAAUGUAAUUGUUAAUAAAUUAAUAAAUAUAUAUUAAUUAAUAUGUCAAAAAAAAAAAAAAA
Molecule: long non-coding RNA, 1705 nt
Filed under: Homo sapiens (human)
Lineage: Eukaryota; Metazoa; Chordata; Mammalia; Primates; Hominidae
Description: long independently transcribed non-coding RNA 2745 (LINC02745)
Source: RNAcentral